GUGGGGAAUAUUGCACAAUGGGCGCAAGCCUGAUGCAGCGACGCCGCGUGCGGGAUGACGGCCUUCGGGUUGUAAACCGCUUUUGACUGGGAGCAAGCCCUUCGGGGUGAGUGUACCUUUCGAAUAAGCACCGGCUAACUACGUGCCAGCAGCCGCGGUAAUACGUAGGGUGCAAGCGUUAUCCGGAAUUAUUGGGCGUAAAGGGCUCGUAGGCGGUUCGUCGCGUCCGGUGUGAAAGUCCAUCGCUUAACGGUGGAUCCGCGCCGGGUACGGGCGGGCUUGAGUGCGGUAGGGGAGACUGGAAUUCCCGGUGUAACGGUGGAAUGUGUAGAUAUCGGGAAGAACACCAAUGGCGAAGGCAGGUCUCUGGGCCGUCACUGACGCUGAGGAGCGAAAGCGUGGGGAGCGAACAGGA
RNAcentral lists this ribosomal RNA (415 nucleotides) under uncultured bacterium. RNAcentral describes it as "bacterial SSU rRNA". It matches the Rfam family "Bacterial small subunit ribosomal RNA", at positions 354 to 777 of the family's 1533-position model. The record is from RNAcentral.